GCCUUUGGGAGACGCGGUGGCUUAAUGGUUAGGCGCGUUGGACUCCGGAUCGAGAGGUCCAGGUUCGAGCUCUGGCCGGGGUA
Molecule: non-coding RNA, 83 nt
Organism: Desmophyllum pertusum
Lineage: Eukaryota; Metazoa; Cnidaria; Anthozoa; Scleractinia; Caryophylliidae
Source: the annotation of a GenBank genome assembly